UACAGGAUGCGAAAAACUGGGCUCUACCAUUGGAGGUGGAGGAGGGAGAUCUUUUCGAUGGAAAGAUUGUCUUGCGGAUCCUGUAGAGUUGUUUUGAGCUCUAAUUUUUAUCAUAAUUUCUUAUUAUUCUCCCUACCUAACGCGCUAAUCUAUUGCAGCCAAUCUUCUGUUGCGUCCAUUGUCAGAGAAGAACAUCUAUAAAAAAAGUCCACACUGAUCGAAAUUAUGUCUGAUGG
Molecule: long non-coding RNA, 236 nt
Filed under: Elaeis guineensis (African oil palm)
Lineage: Eukaryota; Viridiplantae; Streptophyta; Magnoliopsida; Arecales; Arecaceae
Description: long non-coding RNA (EGUI_LNC014313)
Source: RNAcentral